This 4736-nucleotide long non-coding RNA is filed under the name Homo sapiens (human). RNAcentral's name for it is "HSALNT0297625". The record is from RNAcentral. Lineage: Eukaryota; Metazoa; Chordata; Mammalia; Primates; Hominidae.
CACAGAGGGGCAGCUGGAUGGCCUGCCAGGGCGAGCAACUGUGGUAUAAUUCCAGACAGCUGCUUCUGUCAGGGGACGGCUUAUCCGGCCAGGUUGAGCCCUCUAUGAGAGCUUUGGAGCUGUUGGAAGGAGGGGUGAGACUUGGAGGACCAGGAGACACCUCACAUUCUGCAGCUCCUUAGAGGAAAACUCAGGGCCCAGCCAUUUGGGACUCAAUGAGCCAUAGCAGGAUUUCCUGUGAGGAACAACCCACAAUCUUACCAGGCUGCCUCAGUCAUUUAAAAAAUGUUCCAAAAAAUUACACAGACUGGAUUUUCUUUUUUUUUUUCCCUAGAAACAAACUUACAGAGCAGAAAAUCUAGACCAUAUAGAAACCAAGAAAAAGCAACCUGACAUCCUCUAAAUGAGCUGACCCCACUCUUAGGUUACUUUACAACUCAGCCUUGAGUUUGUGCAGAUGGCUGCGCUUACAGCUGGAUACAAUAACUGUACUAUUAUGUAUUUGUGUAAAAUUUUAGGAUUUUCAUUUUUCACCUCAUUUGAGUAUCCCCAGAAUCCUUAAAGUAGAUGAGGCCCUUACAUCACCCAUUUUACAGACCAGAUAAAUUACAUCAUCACAACUCAUCACGAACUAACGGUUUUUCAUUUCAAAGGAGAUUUGUAUCCUGCAUUAUCCCAUUGAUUCUCCUAAAUAGUAACAAAAGCAACAACGGAAACAUCUCCAUUUAGAGAAGAGGAAAUUAAGGCUACCAUGAUUCCUUCUCAAGAACUGAAUUCUGGGGCAGCCCUCGAGAUCUUAAGUUACACAAUGCCAGCUUUUCCCACAGGAGUUACCAUCCCCUGGGGGCCAGCUUGAGGCAGGGUCACAAGGCUCACCUGAAUCUGUGCUGGGGAGAACCAAGAUGUCAACUCUGCCAUGGACUUGGAACAGGCCAGAUCCUGCAGCCUUCAGACCAGGGACCUGCCAGGACACCUCCCCCUUCCCCAGGCCCAAGCUGAUGUGAGACCUCCCUCCAGACACUGUGAUGGGGCCAGCUGGCUCUGGCAUUUGCCCAGCUGCCUCUGCCAAAUCGUCACAUUCCAUAAUACGAAUUGUCUUUCUAGCGUUCUAUUCCAGGUCCCUUCCUCUUCUCCCCCCAUUCCUAAACUGGCUUCUCCAACACUGAGGAUCCACUCAGGCAGAAAGAGUUUCCCUUCUAAAGACUUCAGCAGAGGUCCUAGAGUUCUGAGGCAUUUCCUCUCCCCUAUCCCCGGGAGGCUGGUGGAGGUGCUGGGGAGAGCUACGGUGGCCACCGAUGUCUGCCAUAUUGCCUUGGAGCCUAAAAUCCUUGGUCAAUUUACUUUUAAAAUUUAUACAACAGCAUUUUGCAAAGUGCGUUCCGAUUUAUACUGUCAUUAUAAUCUGACACUAGCCUAAUCUCAGGAGCUAGGAAUGUGAGAUGUCACAGCAUCAGUGUCUAUUUUGCAGAUGAAGAAACGGAGGCACAGCAUAGCUAAGUGGCUCAUCCAAGCCACACAGAGAAACCCCCGACUUCUAAUUGAAUUUACCUUCAUGGGCCCAUACACUGAUUUCAAGACUUAAGAUUUAAAGUAGAUAGGGUAUUUGCAUGUGUCCCAGAAUAGUAUCAGAGGCAGGCGCCAAACAAAAAUGCCUGGGUCAAGGGUUGUUAGGUCCCCUGAACUGCUGUUGUGACCUGCCCAUCCCAUGUUAUGGGACAAGACCCUCAACUAUAAAGUCUUUACUUCCCACCUCCCUGAGCUGUCCUGCAGCUGAAGGAAACCUAGGGAAAGUGACCAGGAGACCCCAGGACCUUUGUCCCAGCAGACCGAGGAAUCUAUUAAAGUCUGAGGCAGGCAGGAGGGAAAUAACAAAAAGGAAGUCAAAGAACAAGGUGCAGAGAGAGGAGAUUACUCCAAAUGAAGGGGUUUUUCCUCACUGAUAAGGUGCGAGGCGGGAACAGCAAAGUGACGCAAGGGCUGGGCCGCUUCUGCAUGUGGGUGUCAGGGAGGAGAUGGUUAAGGAGUUUUGACAUAACACAGUAAGUGUUUUAAAAAAAAAAAACUCAGCACAUACACAUAACCAGCUACAAGUUUCAGAAGUGAGGAAAACCAUGGUGACUAGCUUAAGGGAACUUAGCCGCCAACGCAGCAGAAAGCACCACCUGCUCUGACUAACAGGUUCCAGCUCCUAAAAUGUCACUUGCUUUUCCACAUUGACUUUUGCUUUUCCCUGGCUGCCAGAAACCAUUUUGGUGGCCAAAUGAAGCCAUGCAUUAGAGAGCUGAGAUGCUUCAGAGUUAGAGGUGGCAAACAAACAGGGCUUUCAUGAUCUGUAAGACCGAAGCAAGAAGUGCCGUCCCCAGAACUGGCCAUAAGGUAGUCAGAAAGGAGAGCCUCCCAGGGUGAGGUGCCCCGGGGAAGGAAGUGAGGGGAGUUGGCUGUCCCUCCCCUGGAACUAUCUGAAAGGGCAGGAAGAGCCCCAUCUCCUUGGGUGGCACUGUCCUUUCAGGAAAAAAGGGAGGACUAGAUGGCUUCUGAAAGAUCCUUCCUGAGAAGGCUGUGGUUUCUGAACAGUUGGGCUUCAUCCGUCUUUCUCCCUGGGUGUGGGUCCCCCAAAGGGGAAGUUUGCUCCAAAAUCUGCAAACACAGCUGCAUGAAUACAAAACUAAAAUGCCUUGGGGUACAGUGUCAUUGGCACCAUCUGGUUAAAAAUGACCAAAAGUGGUUUCUAAUUUUUACAGGUACGUGUGUUCUCAACAAAUCCCAGGAAAGCUUAAAGUCACACUAAUCUAUAGCUAAUUAUCCCACCUGGCAGCUGACUGCAUAGCCCUUCCUCCUACCUGGGUUUGAAACUCCUUCCGCCCUACCAACAGUUUGGCUGUGAGGGUUCAGUGGGGUGACUGGGUCACCCUGAGCCUUUGCCAGCCUAGGUCGCCAACAUUCCUCUAUUUAUAGGGUCUCUAUGGAAACAGGGCCAGCAUUAGAGAACUAAUCACUGUAAAAACCCACAGAGUUCUACUCUUAGGAUCCAAAGUGGAUUGAAGAAGUCUCCAAUUGCCCUUAAGAAGCUCUGGGUGGGGAGCCUGAGUGGGAGCAGGAGAGGAACCAUUACCCCAGAGAAUUCAGCCUGGAGCCAAAGCAAGUGGGAAAAGGUCACCUCAUCCACCAUGUCUUUAGGCAGAACUGAUUCAGCACACACCAACAUAGAAGACUUUUAUUAAAGUUCCCAGCAUGGCGUGCCCUCUCUCUGCCUCUUUGCAUCCUACCCAUCCUUCACCACCUCGCCACUCCAUAAAGCCCUCUCUGAUCACACCAGUCUGCAGCGAUCUCGCCCUGCUCUGAACACAUAAGCGCUCAUUAUCUGCACCACUCAUUUUGCAAUUAAUCGUGUACUGCCUUGUGACAUCGCUUCUAGUGCUUUGUCUGACUGUUAUCCAACUUCUCACCUGCUGACGGAUGGAACCCUUGAUGACAAUAUGAGUGACUGGACAGCAGGAGCUACAGCUCCUACAUCUCUGUGUCCCUAACAUUACCUGGCAGAGGCCUCAACACCAACAUGGAAGACAGCUAGGUAUACUUCAAUUCUACCUCCUCUGAUAAAACUUAUCCCAGGCGUCCGGCUCCCACCUGAGAUUGCAGGAAUCUUCAAGCCUUAACAUAUCUACUGGGCCUCAAGAUGCAGCAGGCCCUCAGAGAGCCAUCGCAACCAUCACAACACUCCUGGAGAGCCCCAGGGAACGUACAUAUCUUCAUUCCACCUACGUUCUUAUGAAGUAGCUUGUCUUCUCCUUCAUUUAAAAAAUGAAGAAACUCUCCACUCUCACUGCUUCAUUUGACUACCCUUUAAAAAAAAAAGGAGAAACUGAGACCUAUAAAUUUUAUCAAAACCCUGAGCCUUGAAAAAAUAUAUAUAUAAGAAAUAAACAAAUAGAAAACAAGCAGGUGCUUCUCGGGAAUGUCAGUUUUUUUUUUUCCUUGACUUGGGUAGAUGAGGUGUCUGCUUUGCUUCUGUUAUUUAAACUGCGUACAUGUUUUCAGGCACUUUUAUAAGCAUGUUUCACAAUUUAAUUCAGCAGCACCUUUCCUGCUGAAGGUGGUAUCUGCUGACUGCAUGAACCCUUCUCUAGUGGGCUCUCUGCAGGAGUGGUGAAGGAACACACGCCACUCACAGUGGGAGGAAGCUGCCUGUGACCACCAGGAAAGGCGGAGAGCCAGCAGGGAGAACCACACAGGACUCAGUUGUGACUUUCUCUCAGAUAUCUGGCUUCGAAUUAUCUUUCCUGCUCUUCACUAAGUAGGCAGGAAGACCAGUGUAUGGUGUGACUGGAACAUGAACUGGAACCCAAAUGAGUCUUGAGUCAAAAGUGCUUCAAACCAGGAGGGGAAUGAUGGAAUUUGGAGCUCCCCCUUUUUCUUCAGGGAAAUAUAUUAAUACUGCUCAGAAAUCUCCAGGGAAAUUACUUAAAGGGGCUUUUGUGAGAGGAAAGAGAACCUUAGGGGAAGUCCAGGGGGAAAGCCCAUGGCCAGCAUCCCCAGACACCUCCUUUCAGGAAAGACUCAAUUCUUCCCACUGUGAGAGAGGUGGGGAGGUUGGUAAUUUCCUCCCGUGCCUUCAGACUUCCAUCACAUAUCAGGAUAGAACCAGCUCACUCUUAUGCUUGGCCACUCAUCCUGGGCCUCAGAAGUAUCUACCACACGUUGUGGUUUUUUUUUUUUUUUUCGGUUGUUGUUUUUUG